AGAGUUUGAUCCUGGCUCAGAACGAACGCUGGCGGCAGGCCUAACACAUGCAAGUCGAACGGAUGUAGCAAUACAUUAGUGGCGCACGGGAGAGUAACGCGUGGGAACCUACCUUUUGGUUUGGGAUAACGUCGGGAAACUGACGCUAAUACCAGAUAAGCCCUUCGGGGGAAAGAUUUAUCGCCGAUAGAUGGGCCCGCGUUAGAUUAGCUAGUUGGUGAGGUAACGGCUCACCAAGGCGACGAUCUAUAACUGGUCUGAGAGGAUGACCAGUCUCACUGGGACUGAGACACGGCCAGACUCCUACGGGAGGCAGCAGUGGGGAAUAUUGGACAAUGGGGGCAACCCUGAUCCAGCCAUGCCGCGUGAAUGAUGAAGGCCUUCGGGUUGUAAAGUUCUUUUGGUGGGGACGAUGAUGACGGUACCCACAGAAUAAGCUCCGGCUAACUUCGUGCCAGCAGCCGCGGUAAUACGAAGGGGGCUAGCGUUGUUCGGAAUUACUGGGCGUAAAGGGCGCGUAGGCGGUUUAACAAGUUGGGUGUGAAAUCCCAGGGCUCAACCCUGGAACUGCACCCAAGACUGUUUUACUUGAAUUCGGUAGAGGUUGGUGGAAUUCCCAGUGUAGAGGUGAAAUUCGUAGAUAUUGGGAAGAACACCCGUGGCGAAGGCGGCCAACUGGACCGACAUUGACGCUGAGGCGCGAAAGCGUGGGGAGCAAACAGGAUUAGAUACCCUAGUAGUCC
This 743-nucleotide ribosomal RNA is filed under the name uncultured bacterium. RNAcentral describes it as "bacterial SSU rRNA". It matches the Rfam family "Bacterial small subunit ribosomal RNA", at positions 8 to 796 of the family's 1533-position model. The record is from RNAcentral.